RNAcentral lists this ribosomal RNA (392 nucleotides) under Dujonia zeylanoides. RNAcentral's name for it is "[Candida] zeylanoides partial 26S ribosomal RNA". It matches the Rfam family "Eukaryotic large subunit ribosomal RNA", at positions 86 to 475 of the family's 3401-position model. Lineage: Eukaryota; Fungi; Ascomycota; Pichiomycetes; Serinales; Debaryomycetaceae. The record is from RNAcentral.
ACGGCGAGUGAAGCGGCAAAAGCUCAAAUUUGAAAUCUAGCACUUUCAGUGUUCGAGUUGUAAUUUGAAGAAGGUAACUUUGGUUUUGGCUCUUGUCUAUGUUCCUUGGAACAGGACGUCACAGAGGGUGAGAAUCCCGUGCGAUGAGAUGCCCAAUUCCAUGUAAAGUGCUUUCGAAGAGUCGAGUUGUUUGGGAAUGCAGCUCUUAGUGGGUGGUAAAUUCCAUCUAAAGCUAAAUAUUGGCGAGAGACCGAUAGCGAACAAGUACAGUGAUGGAAAGAUGAAAAGAACUUUGAAAAGAGAGUGAAAAAGUACGUGAAAUUGUUGAAAGGGAAGGGCUUGAGAUCACACUUGGUGUUUUGCGUUCCCUUCCUUUUUGGUUGGGUUCCUCG